CCUACGGGAGGCAGCAGUAAGGAAUAUUGGACAAUGCUCGCAAGAGUGAUCCAGCCAUGCCGCGUGCAGGAAGACGGCCCUAUGGGUUGUAAACUGCUUUUGAACUAGAGAAAACCCUCCUACGUGUAGGAGGCUGAUAGUAUAGUUAGAAUAAGCAUCGGCUAACUUCGUGCCAGCAGCCGCGGUAAGACGAAGGAUGCAAGCGUUAUCCGGAUUCAUUGGGUUUAAAGGGAGCGUAGGUGGACUGAUAAGUCAGUGGUGAAAUCUCUCGGCUUAACCGAGAAAUUGCCAUUGAUACUGUUGGUCUUGAGUACAGUUGCUGUGGGCGGAAUAUGACAUGUAGUGGUGAAAUACAUAGAGAUGUCAUAGAACACCGAUUGCGAAGGCAGCUCACAAAGCUGUAACUGACACUGAGGCUCGAAAGUGCGGGGAUCAAACAGGAUUAGAUACCCUGGUAGUCCGCACCGUAACGAUGAUUACUCGCUGCUGGGAGGUAACUUUCAGUGGCUUAGCGAAAGGNGAUAAGUACNCCGACCGUGGAGGUACGCCGCGACGUAGACGACGAGUAGAGUUAGAGGNGNGAGACGCGCGACGACGACGACGAGGGAGGAGG
Molecule: ribosomal RNA, 613 nt
Filed under: uncultured bacterium
Lineage: Bacteria
Description: bacterial SSU rRNA
Rfam family: Bacterial small subunit ribosomal RNA (bases 1-536)
Source: RNAcentral